RNAcentral lists this ribosomal RNA (242 nucleotides) under uncultured bacterium. RNAcentral describes it as "partial 16S ribosomal RNA". It matches the Rfam family "Bacterial small subunit ribosomal RNA", at positions 524 to 765 of the family's 1533-position model. The record is from RNAcentral.
UACGAAGGGGGCUAGCGUUGCUCGGAAUCACUGGGCGUAAAGGGUGCGUAGGCGGGUCUUUAAGUCAGGGGUGAAAUCCUGGAGCUCAACUCCAGAACUGCCUUUGAUACUGAGGAUCUUGAGUUCGGGAGAGGUGAGUGGAACUGCGAGUGUAGAGGUGAAAUUCGUAGAUAUUCGCAAGAACACCAGUGGCGAAGGCGGCUCACUGGCCCGAUACUGACGCUGAGGCACGAAAGCGUGGG